UGGGGAAUAUUGCACAAUGGGCGCAAGCCUGAUGCAGCCAUGCCGCGUGUAUGAAGAAGGCCUUCGGGUUGUAAAGUACUUUCAGCGGGGAGGAAGGGGUUGAGGUUAAUAACCUCAGCAAUUGACGUUACCCGCAGAAGAAGCACCGGCUAACUCCGUGCCAGCAGCCGCGGUAAUACGGAGGGUGCAAGCGUUAAUCGGAAUUACUGGGCGUAAAGCGCACGCAGGCGGUCUGUCAAGUCGGAUGUGAAAUCCCCGGGCUCAACCUGGGAACUGCAUUCGAAACUGGCAGGCUAGAGUCUUGUAGAGGGGGGUAGAAUUCCAGGUGUAGCGGUGAAAUGCGUAGAGAUCUGGAGGAAUACCGGUGGCGAAGGCGGCCCCCUGGACAAAGACUGACGCUCAGGUGCGAAAGCGUGGGGAGCAAACA
This 427-nucleotide ribosomal RNA is filed under the name uncultured bacterium. RNAcentral's name for it is "partial 16S ribosomal RNA". It matches the Rfam family "Bacterial small subunit ribosomal RNA", at positions 355 to 774 of the family's 1533-position model. The record is from RNAcentral.